Molecule: ribosomal RNA, 463 nt
Filed under: uncultured Pseudoxanthomonas sp.
Lineage: Bacteria; Pseudomonadati; Pseudomonadota; Gammaproteobacteria; Lysobacterales; Lysobacteraceae
Description: bacterial SSU rRNA
Rfam family: Bacterial small subunit ribosomal RNA
Source: RNAcentral
AACGAACGCUGGCGGUAUGCCUAACACAUGCAAGUCGAACGCACCUUUACGGUGAGUGGCGGACGGGUGAGUAAAUGCAUGGGUAUCUGCCUUGCACUGGGGGAUAACAUCUGGAAACAGAUGCUAAUACCGCAUAUUCCAUAUUGGGAAAGCUACGGCGGUGCAAGAUGAGCCCAUGUCCGAUUAGCUAGUUGGUAAGGUAAGAGCUUACCAAGGCUACGAUCGGUAGCUGGUCUGAGAGGAUGAUCAGCCACACUGGAACUGAGACACGGUCCAGACUCCUACGGGGAGGCAGCAGUGGGGAAUAUUGCGCAAUGGGCGAAAGCCUGACGCAGCAAUACCGCGUGUGUGAUGAAGGCCCUAGGGUUGUAAAGCACUUUCGCAGGGAAGACAAAGACGGUACCCUGAUAAGAAGUCCCGGCUAACUCCGUGCCAGCAGCCGCGGUAAUACGGAGGGGGCAAG